This 14815-nucleotide long non-coding RNA is filed under the name Glycine max (soybean). Its description in RNAcentral is "long non-coding RNA (GMAX_LNC003731)". Lineage: Eukaryota; Viridiplantae; Streptophyta; Magnoliopsida; Fabales; Fabaceae. The record is from RNAcentral.
GUUUCAGGUUUUUUUUUUUUCCCUCACUUUCCGGGGACAAAGUUUGUGGCAUAGGCCCAAGCAUUGUUGUUCACUGGGUCAGCAAGGUGAUCAGCAAGGUUUUCUAAGGGUCCCUUUCCUGUCACAAUUGCCUGAACAAAGAAUCCAAACAUGGAGAACAUGGCCAACCUACCAUUCUUGAGCUCCUUCACCUUCAGCUCAGCAAAAGCCUCUGGGUCAUCAGCAAGACCCAAUGGGUCAAAGCUGCCACCUGGAUAGAUUGGAUCAGUCACCUCACCAAGAGGCCCACCAGCAAUACGGUAACCCUCAACUGCACCCAUCAAGAUAACUUGGGUGGCCCAGAUGGCAAGAAUGCUUUGUGCAUGGAUCAGGCUUGGGUUGCCCAAGUAGUCAAGCCCGCCCUCACUGAAUAUCUGAGACCCGGCCUUGAACCACACGGCCUCACCAAACUUGACUCCGUUGCGGGACAAGAGUUCAGGGAAAACACAGCCCAAGGCUCCCAACAUGGCCCAUCUGGAGUGGAUGACUUCCAGUUCACGGUUUUUGGCAAAGGUCUCUGGGUCAGCAGAAAGCCCAGCAGUGUCCCAACCAUAGUCACCUGGGAAUUCACCAGUGAGGUAGGAUGGGGGCUCACCAGAGAAUGGGCCCAAGUACUUGACACGAUCUGGGCCGUACCAUGGGCUUCCUGAGGUAACAGUCUUGGAGGCUGUUUUUCUCAUGCUAACCCUUCCAACACCAAGCUGAGGGGUGGAGGGGGCAAGCUUGAUAGCUUGGCCAGCCAAUGAUGAUGAAGAGAGAGCCAUUGUUGAAGCAGCCAUUGUAGUGUUGUAUAUUGUAAAACAAUGAAAUGCUUUGUAACUGAAAAGUGCAGAGAAUGGUUAGCAAUGUUGCUUGUAGUUGGGGUAAUAGACGAGCACUAUAUAUAGCUUUCAAAUAGAAAAUGGGUUCUUAUCUUAAUAUCUUAUGAGAUCUAUAUUUUUAUUCCUAUUGGUUUGGAUUUAGAGCAUUGUUUAUGUCCACAUGCUUCUUAGUACUUUUCGAUAUCUUUUGGAUUGGUUGUUUUGCUUCUCUUACCAGCAUGGAUCAGAUAUCUACAAACAUAUCAUUAAAUGCCUCUUAGACAAUGCCAUGUAGGAUUUCUGGAUAUGUUGUAUGAAAUAAAUUAAUAGAUGUAUAAAGUGGGGGACACCUUGGGAAAAUUGAGUUUUACCGAAGAGGGACCAUAGUACAUUACUGCAUUGGUCCUAUUGGUAGUUGACAUAAAUUGGUAAGCAUCUCAAAUGACAGUUUCAUAUCCACAUUUUUUAGGCCUUUCUAUAUAAACUAAAAGAAAACAAAAGAAAAUUGUUUUAAUUAAGAGUUCUAUUGAUGGUUUAAUACAUGCGCAAUCUAUAGCCUUAAUUCAUGGCCUGUUUGAAAUUCCAGAGGAGGUGAUGUUGUUGUUAUUAAUAAUUUCUGUCUAUGUGUUUUAGAUUUACUUUUUAGAAGCAUAAGAAAUGGGAAUAUAAUAUCUCUGUCGCAUGUAGUGAAUAAAAAUAUCUGUAGUCUAUGGUAUCUUAAAAUCAAUGGUACCUUGAUAACAAUGCAAAGUAGACACACACUUACAGUAUCGGCAUUCAUUCAAUUUCUGUAUCUAAAUGAUUUUUUUUUUACUAUUUACAUACACUUUCAAAAAUUGCUCUAUGUACCCUUUAAAAAUACAGAAAGUAGAAACCUUUUGUUUGUACCGUGUCUGUAUCUAAAUGAAAGCAGAAACAUUGCUCUGUUUACACUUUCAAACAAUAUUUUUGGACGGCCAAAAUAUUAUUUAAUAUCUAGUGAGAGAGAUAAAAGAAAAAAAAAUAUAUGUAUAAUAAGUGAUAUGAUGUAAUAGAAAAAAAAUAAAAGAUAAAGAAAUAAAAAGAUGUUGAAUAGGUAUUUGAAAGAUUGGAGUAUUCAAGAAACCACUACUCUUAGACUUUUUAUUGUUUGUGAAAACUGAAAAGCACUUGCUAUAAGUACUUAUCACGUGAUUUGCGGAGCAUGGACUCCAUAGGCAACCAUAAUUUUAAAACCUUACUUAUCAUUAAAGCAUAUACUUGUUGGAUACAUAUUCAAGUUUCUAUACCUAUAUUUAAGUAAAUACUAAAAGUGCUGCAUUUUGGUCAAUCAGCCAAAGAAAUGCCUUGGAAGGUUUUUUCAUUGGUGAAAUAAAGGGACAAAACACUCCAAGGAAGCACUAAAAUUUGUUAAUACUGCAAUGUAAAGCAUCUAAGACACCCAAAUGCCAAAUGGAACAAAGCUGAAGAUGAUGAAAUGAAAGCUUUAACACGAAACUCCACAAUUGUGAUGGCUUGUGACUUUUGAGUGGAGCAUUCGUCUUGUGGAUAUCCUUUGCAGUUUGAAUAGUCUCACGAAGAGUAAAUUGAAAAGAAAAACAUAAACGUCAUUUUGGUGAAAAAAAAGAGAAAAAUAUAAAUAUAGAAGUGAUGUUUAUUUUUUUUAAAGCCAAAUAAAAUUUUAUUGCAUUAUAAAAACAAAAGGUGUGUGAAGCAGGAUAAAACCGAAAGGUUUACAAACUUCUAUGCUGCAGGAUAUUAAUUACCUGCACCUGUGUUAACAAAAUAAAUAGCCCUCCACCCUACUACUACUAUAUGUCAUUUGACCACACAAAACUAUUUACAUCCCACACAAUACACACUGUCAAUUAUCAUGAAACCAACCAGCAAAAAACUAAAGAGCUAGACUUGCGUGCCUAUCCUUGCUUAACCCAAUUCACCAUUUUAAAAAUACACCAGCACGCCUAUUGUGUGACAAAGUUGGUUAUUUCCUGUAGUACUGUGGUACAGCACAGAAAUUCUGCUACAGACACAAAAAUUCUACUUGUUGGUUAUUUCUCAUUCAACACAACAAUGUCAUUCUCAUUCUCAAGAAGGUUAAGCUCUUCUCUCUCUUUUCAUUCCCAACUUUCCUCCUUUUCUUCCAAACCCCACUUUCCCUCUUUGCUUUCACUCUCAGCCUCCAUCCAUGGAUAAUGUUGUUGAUGAUGCUGUUUCCAGUUCAAUGACAUGCUCCUUGUGCGUCAUACCCUGCCCAUCUUCCAAUUUAACAAGAUUUUAGGACCCCUUGUGAAGAUGAAGCCCAUUUCCCUUUCUAAACAAAUGGAAGUCAAAGGAAUUGAGCCAGAUCUUGUUACUUUAAACAUCCUCCUCAAUUGUUUCUCCCACUUGGAACAAAUGGCCUUUUCUUUUUCUGUAUUGGACAAAAUUCUAAAAUUAAGUGAUCAACCGAUACCAUAACCUUGAAUACACUCAUGAAAGGUCUGUGUCUCAAGGGUGAGGUCAAGAAAUAACUGAACUUUUUAUGACUACCUCAGCUGCUUGACCUCUCGGGUGCAUCUCCUUCUCCAUAAGAUCUAAAGCAUAAGUAAGUCUCCCUGAUUUACACAAAUCAUCAAUAAGAGAAUUAUACGUCACUGCAUUAGGAACCAUAUUUUUAUGCAGCAUUUCUCUUAGGAGAUUCAUGGCCUCAUCCACCCUUUUACUCUUAAAUAAUCCAUGAAUCAUUAUACUGUAGCUGUAAACAUCAGGAUUUACUCCUGUUUAGACCAUAGCGUUGAAUAUCUGUUUUGCAUUCUGCACUUCACCAACUAAACAAUACCACUCCAUUAAAUCAAGAUAGUAUAGGUAUAAACAUUCGGGUUGAUGUUCUUAAAUAUCAUUUCAUUUAAUAAACCAAACUUCCAUUAACUGACCCGCAAGACAAAAGUCACACUUUAGAGUAUUGUAAGUGAUAAAAUUAUUGAUAUUUUAUUCAAAAUAAUCUUACGAUAAUAAAUAAUUAAAAUUAUAAAAAUUUUGUAUCUCAUUAUCAUAAUCUUUAUCUGUAUAAUGAUAACAAAUUGUUAAUUUAAAAAUUAAGAAAUUUACCUAAUUAAUAAUUUCAUAAAAUGAUGAAUAUAAUAAUAAAAACAACAAUAUUUUAUUAAAAUUAAAAUUGACCGCAUAUAAUAGACGGAAUCUUGCACUGAUACAUUUAUUUGUAACUAGUGAUACACCUUUAUUCAAAUUGCGUUGAUUAAACUUGGACAUUAAUUUUAAAAUAUUUGAAAAUUAAUUAAAUAUUAAUUUUCUUUUCAUUUAAUAGUAACAACAACAAACAUAUAUAUCUAGGGUCAUAUUUAACAUGACAACUAUUUUUUUCUCAAUGUAGGCCAUCAAACUUUAUUUAAUAAGCAUUUGAAUGGCAUGGAUUCUUCGAAUCUAUCUAAAAUGUUCCCAACGCAUCAGUAGAUAUUUUGAUAAUCUGACUCUGAUUGUGAACUUUAUUUAGGUUUCAAUAUGCAAACUCCUCACCAUUAAAUGGAAGCUGGGUUGGAUUCCCAUUCCUUUGCAACAAGACUUCUGAGCUUAUUUGUUAGUAUCUCAAAAUCAUCUUUGCUCUUAAUAAUACUGAGACGCACGUAACGUUCAUCUGCACUAAAGAUACUUCCUUCACGGCCAAUCGUGCGAGCAGCUUUUAGGGUUUCAUAGCAAUUCAUGUCUUGUUGUCUCUCACACUUUAACCUAGCGUAAGCUGUGAAACCAAAUUGUUAUGUAAACAAGGAGAAAACUUCAUAUAUUUACUCAACUUUUUAUUGGGCUGGUGAAGUUAGACAGCAAUUAAUUAAUUCUUCAUAAAAUUGAUGAAAUAAAUGGCGUAAGACACAAUCAAAAUUAAAAUGGUUAAGAACAAAUGUAGUAUUUAUAAACAUAAUUAAAAAAUGAUAAAACCUAAAAAUGUGAUCAGAAAUUGACAUUUACCUGGUGAAGGAUCUCUGACGCUCUUGAAAAAGGUACAGUACUGGGGAGACAAUUUCUGUAGAGAAAACCGUUUCGAUUUAUAUAUGAUUUGUUUCAACCUUAUCCAAUGAUCAUUCAUUGUUGAAUAUGUAAAUUGGAAUAUUUCUUUUCCAUCUCCUUCAGUAGCCAUGUCCAAAAGCUUUAAAACUCUCAGCUGAACGUCACGGGAAACUCCAAUGGUGCUCAAUCUCAAAUAUAUCAUCAUCUUUUGAUAUACUGCCUCAUCCUUUAUUAUUGCCAAUCUGUUAGAAAAUCACAAUAUAUAACACUUAUGUGUUACUUAUCCGUUGAUAAAAAUAGAGUUUAAUUUUCAUCUGAAAGUGUUACACUCACUUCAUAUUAUUAACAAUAUUUAUCUGAAAGAAAAUUAAUUCAUGAUUCUAAGUAAAUGUUGACUUUAAUUUUGAUCUGAAAGUUUUACACUGUGGCCGAAUUCAAAUUAAAUGCAGAACAUUUUUUAUCCUUAAAUUUCAUAUAUUUAUGAAGAUAAGAUCGAUCUAAAGCCAACAAAUUCUUGACCAUACAGAGGGAACCUCAGCUCCAAUAUAAGUGAUUCAGGCUCUCUAACAACUUGUAAAAGUUCUCAAAUUCUCAGGUAAUCUUUAAAGUUAUAACUGUAAUUUUAUGCCAAUCUAUAUAUUCCAUAAUGAAUAAUCAUAAAAAAUAUCAAACUUUAUAUUAACAGGCAAAAUAAAAGUCUUCAACGGAGUUAUAAUUUAUUAAUCUUAAUCACAUUAAAUUAAUUAUGUAAAUUAGCACGAUGAAAGUUUCAUAGUGAUAUAUCUCACCCAAAUCUACUCCCAGCAUGGCCUGUGAGCUUAGAAAUUGUAAACACCAUAAGAUCAUCAUCAGCUGGUGAAGGAAUAGCAGUGAAAUGUGGCCAAUAAUAGGCUCGAUCAUAAAUGGUUUUCACAUCAGAGCCUUUGAGAACUUCCUUGUUCAAGUUUCCAUCUGGAUUGUUUGGUGAAGUCACAAACUCAAUAAAUCUGAAGCUGCUAUUUGUGUUGUUUUUCCACAAGGAUGUGUCUCCUUCAUAACUAAAAUCCCUAGAAUUAAACAAUUGCUUUUGGCCUCUAUAGAGCUGUUUCAAAAAGUUUAACAUAAUUUAUGUCAUCUAUCUAGCUAUCUAAUUUCAUAAGCAUAUAAAUAAAUGUAUACACAACCAAAAGUAUUAGAAAAAACUAGUUAUAGUUUCUUAGGUGUUGCUAUUAUGUGAUUUAUAAGGUAAAUGCUUGUAUUAAGAGGUUAACAUAAAUGAUCGAGAUAAACAAAACUAUAAUUUUACUUUUAAAACAACACCAAAACUGCACUUAAAGAAUUGCAUCUAAGUUUUGUUUAAAGAAGUAUUUUAUUGAAGCUUACCUAGGUGACUCUUGGCGAAGAGAGAAAGAAGGAAAAAGAGAUAAUAGUUAACAAAAAUUAAUAAACUAACAAGUAAUAUUAGUUUAUUAAAAAAAAUUAAAGCUCACCGAGUAAUAUGGUGCUGUGGCUACCACUUUUGCUGGGGACAUUGAAGAGUUGAGAGACAAGGCAUAAACAGCAGCAUUGAGAAGUUGAGUUGAGCCACUUCCAAAUACGAUGUACUUUCCUUCGGUGAUUAAUUGCAUUCCCAACGAUGGCAUGAAGUUUUUUUAUGUACUCAACCAAUAGUUGUGAGAUGUAUGAUUUAUCACUAUAAGAAUAACCCAUUCUAUGCCAUCCUGACACUAAAAUGGCACUACUUGCUGCAUGUCGCAUCCAAAAUGGCUCCAUAAAAUAUGGAUCCCAUUGCAAUUAAUUAAUAAACAUAUUCAAUAAAUUUUAUCAGUAAAAAAAACGAUACAUAUAUAUAUAUAUAUAUAUAUAUAUAUAUAUAUAUAUAUAUAUAUAUAUAUAUUUGUACCUAUAUCUAUCUCAAGUGAGAACUAAAAACUAUCCUCUCUAGAUACCUAGAUUCCUUUAGGACAUUAACUUCUCUUAACAUAUAUAUUUUUACAUAUAUACAUAUGAAUUAAAUUUUUGAUCACUUACUUAAAAGAUAAGAUUAUUUAAUAUUGGUGACCAAAAAUAAUAUUAAAUCGAGGUGAUCUAAAUGAUUUGUUGAUAAAGACUAUAUUUUGUUGAUUCUUUUUUUUUUAUGUAAUUUAAAAUUUUGCCGAAUAAGUUUAUACACUACAUUUUAAUAUUUAAUUUUAUUUAACUAAUUUAAGUAGUACGGGAUAGGUAGCAUUAAUAUUAUGUUAAUUAAUUAAUAAUCUCUAAUGUUAAACGUUUAAUGUAUAAAAUAGAUGCGGGUCAUUUAUCAUCCAAUGAUACUCAAAAUAUUAAGCUCUUUUAAGAUCUUUGACUUUCUAAUGAUGUAAGACAUUUACUUAAUUCCUGUAAUAUUAUAUCAACUUCACUAGAAGGUAAAAAAAUAAAUAAAUCAACAUGAUGUAAGACAUUUACUUAAUUCCUGUCACUUCCAUUAAACAAUAUUAUAUCAACUUCACUAGAAGGUAAAAAUAUAAAUAAAUCAACAUGAUGUAAGACAUUUACUUAAUUCCUGUCACUUCCAUUAAACAAUAUUAUAUCAACUUCACUAGAAGGUAAAAAUAUAAAUAAAUCAACAUGUCCAAAACUAUUGCAAUGACCGUGGUUGAAUUAGCAGUUAAUAGAUUAUUGAAUUUAUGAGAAAGCUAGGGUUACCCAUCAGCGUUGGCAGGACAAUCAGAUAAAAACUGGGAGCAGUCAGAUCCAGCAUGAAUUGCAUUCACAAAGAGACUCAUUCAUAUCUUUAAGAAUAAGACCAUCUAAGUAGGCUCUUCCAUGUCCUCAACAUGGUAUUGCUGCCACAGCCUCAGUUUCUUCUGCAGCUCUUGUGCUCCAAGUUGGCUCCCAUUCUCCCAUACAUACAAACGUGGUCAUUGAGGCGCGCACACAAUACAAUAAUGAAUUUAAAAUUCAUAGGACUUUGGAUUUGUUCUUUUGGCGAUUCUAGUCUUCGUUUCUUUGUGAAAUCUUAAAGCAAUUUCUUGGUUUGCACUUUGAGAUUUCUGAAAUGAAGUAGAUCUUGUUCAUGCAUUUUAGAUAGAGGUAAAAAUUUCAGCGUAAUAAGUUUUCAAAAGUAAGGACAAAUUAAGACCGAAUAUAAUGAACUUUAGGAGAAAAUUGUAUUCACAUUAAUAUUCGAAAAUUCUUUGUUAGGAAGAAGAUGCUCUCAUGGAAACCUAUUAUAGUGAUAGUUAUCAUUCUAGAAACUGUGGUGGUUAUUGUUAGUGAGAAUAAGGUUAUUAUAAUGGGAUUACAAUUAUUGUUAUUGUAGAUAUUUGAUAGGCUUUUAAACAUUAAGAAGUACUAAAUAAAAUAUAAAAAAUUUAGUCUUUAAGUUUGUUAUUUCCCCUCUUUCUCCUAAGACUGCCUUAGUCUUGAACUUAAAGAAUCAUCACUAAUAUUUUUUCCCAUUCUGCCUCAUUAAUAUAUAGAGGGAUUAAAUAUGUUUUUUUUAUUCUAAAAAUACACCAGAUUUACAUGUAGUCCUUUGAAUUUUUUCUUUGUAUUUAAUUUCUAAAAUUUUAGAAAUAUCAGAUUUUAGUUCUUUUCCUAACUCAAUUUCAUUAUGCAGUAAAAUGUGACUAUGUGAUCGAUCAUCUCAGUCAGCAAUUUUGAAGUUAUUUGAUAUGCCAUGUAAUUAAUUAAAAAUAAUGAAAAACAAAACAAAAUUAACUAAUUAAAUAAUUUAAAAAAAAGAAUUAGAAAAAAAAGUAAAAAAGUAAUAAAGAUAGAAGGUUAGAGAAGAUAUUUUUAAGAGUAGAUAGUACACCAAUGAAUAGUGAUGAACAAUUACAUAAGAAAACUUAUAUCAUAUUUUAAUAUAAAAUCUUACAACUUAAUUUUAUAGGUUUUCUUUAUUUAUAUGAUAUUUAAAUUUUUUUAUUUUUAUUUUAUGUGAGACUUUAUCUAUCUUCUAAGACUGAUUAGAUGGUUAGAGUAAGUGUUUGUUUCAUUUUCUACAAAAUUAAAAAAAGUUUGGAUAUUAAGUUUAAUUAACAAUCAUAUAUUCUACACGAUUAUUAAAAAAAAAAUCAUGUGAUUUAAUGGUCAUAUUUCACAAAAAAUUUGUAAUUGAUUUUUAUAUAAGAUACUAUUUUUUAAGUCUGAUUGUGUUAUAACUCACUAAAAAAACAAAUAAUAUUCAAAGUGAUUAAUUGAAAAGCUUUAAGCUGAGGAGAUAGAUACCUCUGCUGUGUGCUUUCUUCUGAACUCAAAACUGAAACAGUUAAAAUAGUGUUCGAACUAAGCAUGAGUUAAUAAUCUCUGUCAUCACCUUCACCGCAAGAGAUGAGUCCGUGGCUACAACCGAAGCUGAAUAAACAGUCAGAACAACGUGCAACGUAAUUAACAACAUUCGUUAGGAACUAAUUGGCUUACAGAAAACAGUGGUGUGGUCUGAUAUCGAGAAAUGUGCCCUGCACAGUCGAAGGAGGUUUAUUUGGUUUUGGGAAGGAAGAAAUUACUAGUACUUCUUAAUUUGUAGAGCUUCUAAAAAAGAGUUUUCAAAUUCAAGAAACUGAAAGUUUUGUAGUCGCUUUUUUCCUACGGAUAGUCUAAUCAAUUAGCUGGUAGCUGGUUUCAUUGGACAAUAUGGUGGCAGAUUCAAUUAGAUCGAUAUUGAAAAGAAAAAUUAUUUCAUCCAUUUAUUUUUUAUUUUUUAAAUUAAUCAUUCAAUUGAUUUUGUUUAUAAUUUUAAUCUAAUACGAUCCAAUUUGAUGUUGGAUUGAUUUUCUAAUUUAAUUGUAUUUUUAUUUUUUGAUAAAAUAUUAAAUAAAUGAUAAUAUAUAUAAUAGAUAUAAUAAAAAUUAAUUUAAAAUAUCAAAUAUUUUAUUUACAUCCUAUUGUAUAAUUAUAGACUUAAAUAUAUUUUUUAUCUCUCUAUUUUACUUAAUUUAUAAUAUUGGUCUAAUUGAGACAAUUCAUCCUCUUAUUUAAAAAAAUAUCUACAAUUAUAAUUCUUUAUUUUAAAAUAUAAAUAUUUAAUUCUCAUAUUUUAAAAAAUUUGUAGUUUUCUUCUCCUAAUUAAAAAAAUCUAUUGGUUUAAUAUUUAAUUUUUGCUAUGCCUUAUAUCAGCCUCAAAUCGAAGCAAACUAAGCUUUGAUCUCUCUCGCUUAAAACCGAUUCAACCCAACAAUGUCAUUCUCAUUGUCAAGAAGGUUCAGCUCUUUUCUUCCAAACCCCACUUUCCCUCUUUACUUUCACUCUCAGCCUCCAUCCAUUGACAAUGUUGUUGAUGAUGCUAUUUCCCAGUUCAAUGGCAUGCUCCUUAUGCAUCAUACCCCGCCCAUAGUCGAAUUUGGCGAGAUUUUAGGAUAUCUUGCAAAGAUGAAGCAUUAUUCCACUGCCAUUUCCCUUUCUAAACAAAUGGAAGUCAAAGGAAUUGAGCCAAAUCUUGUUACUUUGAACAUCCUUAUCAAUUGUUUCUGCCACUUGGGCCAAAUGUCCUUUUCUUUUUCUGUAUUGGGCAAAAUUCUAAAAUUAGGUUAUCAGCCGAAUACCAUAACCUUGACUACACUCAUGAAAGGUCUGUGUCUCAAGGGUGAGGUCCAGAAAUCAGUGCACUUUCAUGACAAGGUCGUAGCACAAGGAUUUCAGAUGAACCAGGUUAGUUAUGGGACCCUGCUCAAUGGACUAUGUAAGAUAGGAGAAACGAGAUGCGCCAUCAAGUUUCUGCGAAUGAUUGAAGACAGUUCAACUGGGCUUAAUGUGGUAAUGUACAACACCAUCAUUGAUGGUUUAUGCAAAGAUAAACUUGUAAAUGAGGCUUAUGAUUUUUAUUCUGAAAUGAAUGCUAGAGGAAUUUUUCCUAAUGUUAUCACUUACACUACUCUAAUAGGUGGUUUUUGCCUUGCGGGUCAGUUAACGGGAGCAUUCAGUUUAUUAAAUGAAAUGAUAUUGAAGAACAUCAACCCGAAUGUUUAUACCUAUGCUAUAUUGAUUGAUGCAUUAUGUAAAGAAGGAAAGGUGAAAGAAGCCAAAAAUUUAUUAGCUGUGAUGACGAAAGAAGGAGUAAAACCUAAUGUUGUUGCUUAUAACACUUUAAUGAAUGGGUAUUGUUUAGCUGGUGAAGUGCAGGGAGCAAAACAGAUGUUCCACGCUGUGCUCCAAAUGGGAGUAAAUCCUAAUGUUUGCAGUUACAGUAUAAUAAUUAAUGGAUUAUGUAAGAGUGAAAGGGUGGAUGAAGCCAUGAAUCUCCUAAGAGAAAUGUUACAUAAAUAUAUGGUUCCUGAUGCAGCGACAUAUAGUUCUCUUAUUGAUGGUUUGUGUAAAUCAGGGAGAAUUACUACUGCCUUGAGUCUUAUGAAGGAGAUGCACUACAGAGGUCAACCAGCUGAUGUAGUCACCUACACUUCCUUAUUAGAUGGUUUCUGCAAAAAUCAAAACCUUGACAAGGCAACUGCACUAUUCAUGAAAAUGAAGGAAUGGGGAAUUCAGCCAAACAAGUACACAUACACGGCACUUAUUGAUGGAUUAUGUAAAGGUGGAAGACUUAAGGAUGCACAAAAGCUUUUUCAAGAUCUCUUGGUUAAAGGCUGUUGUAUAGAUGUCUGCACAUAUAACGUCAUGAUCGGUGGGCUUUGUAAAGAGGGCAUGCUUGAUGAAGCAUUGGCCAUUAAGUCAAAAAUGGAAGACAAUGGUUGCAUCCCUAAUGUUGUAACUUUUGAAAUCAUUAUUCGUUCUCUUUUCAAGAAGGAUGAGAAUGACAAGGCCGAGAAACUUCUCCAUGAAAUGAUUGCUAAAGGCCUAUUACGUUUUAGGAAUUUUCAUGGUGAGCGAUCUCUAGAUACAAAUUAAGUUAUUGUGAAUUUUCAUGGUGAGCGACCAAUGUUUAUUGCAUUUGAUUGUUUCAUAGACUAUGCUAUGGACAUUUCAUUUGAUUAAAAAUCAUAUGCUGGUUAAUUUAUUUUGGUAUUGUAACAAUAACUUUCACUGAUUUUUUUAUUUAUUAUUUGUUUUAGUGUUGUCAUAACUCAUACCUACAUUUUUUCUUCCCCGUGUACUUUCUACCUGUCUCAGUCUACUUUUAAGGUUUUGUUCAGUCACUGUUAAUUCUUAGUGUUUCAGAUAACAAACCAAGCUGAAACAGACAUGUUAUUUGAAAUGCCUUAACUUUUAUAGUUGACUCCAUUUACUCCUGAUUAUAGAAAGUAUAACUGAAUUCUGUUUUUAUCUGUUAUUUUCCUGGUUUUUUUUGUAGAAAUAGAAGAUUUAAAACCGACAGCAUAUUUGUUUGCAUCAUCUGAGUAGUCUUAGAUUUUAAAGUUGCUGAUGUUUUCCUCCAGGUCAUUGCUUAUAAAUUAAUGGGAGCUUCUUGAAAGGACAGAACUUAUUUUUUGGUGUACUCAUUCCGGAUUGUGCGUUCCGGUGAGUAAUUUGUUGCUGCUGAUUUCCUGUACCUUUUAUGUUCUUACAAGGCCUUGCUGCUUCAAUGUUGUGAGUGACAAUUUUGCCGUGUGUCACCCAUUCCAACUGUCCUUUACUUGAGAAUAUAAUUGAAAUGUAUGAUUUUGAAUUGAUCCACCCAAUUAACUGAAAUCUAAUAUAACUUCGUUGUGCUUUGACUUCUAUUUGCACUUGACUGCAGUUGAACAAAUCUAUACUCACUCGCAUCCCAGGUGACUAGCAUAUUUAAUUUGAUUUUGAAACGUGAUUUCUUUUGAUCAUUUUACUAUGGACCGUCGAUGAAAUGUUUGGGGAAUUGGAAUUUGAAACUUGAAAGUUGGUGUUGACAUCCAAUGCUUAUAUAUCCCCAUAGUUCCAAGUGGAAUUUUAGUUUAAGUCACAGCUUAGUAUUGUUCACUUUGAAACAUUUGAUACAGAGCUUGUUGCUAUGCAUUAAGUUAGAAGAGCAUAAUUUGACAAUUAUAUAUUACAUAUAAUUAUUAUUUCUUUCUUUAUAUUUUUAUCAUUUUGUUCUAAACACAUUUUUAAAAUUACAUUCCAAAAUCUAAGAAAAUAGCUUUUUGCUGUCUGAUAUUUUGUUCACAAAACAUUAUCCUUAUGUUAUGUUGUGCUCUAAAAUGUACCCUACAUAAGCUGAAAAAAAAAUACUGAAUUAAGAGUACCUGCUAAAUUUUAAACAUUUCAGAUUGUUAUUUACCCAUUACUUUCUCAUUUCUAUGGAGUACGAUAUGAUAAAGUUUUGACUUUUAGGUUUAUUAUAGUAGCAGAACUACCUCAGGCACUGGAGGAGUGAUUGCACUAGUAGAAAUAUGAAGUACAAUACUGCCAAGUUUGAGCAUAACAAAUGAACCGCCAAGAUAUGAUCACAUUGGGACAAUGUCUUCUAUUUGGUGUUAUAUCCUCUUAGGAAUGUCACAUGCACCUUGGUUAGUGUUAUAAAUUAAUUCUGGAAAAAAGUGUCUUUAAAACAAAGAAAUGGAGCAAAAUCAGUUACGAUUAUGCAGAGAGAAACAAGAUAGCCUACACUAAAUUAGAAAGUAUUGCAAUAAUGUAAGAGCAGUGCUUGCUCAAGCCAAGGAUUAUUCCUAUGGCCCCAGAUAUAGCUUCCUUGGAGACUUAAAAGUUACAAUUGCUCUCGUUAUUAAUUUCUUGAAAAGAAAAUCUGACAUGAAAGCGAGCAUCAACAGGAAGAGGAUCCAAGUUGGAACAGGAGAGUGACUAUGGCUGCGAACAUGCAGAAUGUCGAUUUCGUUCAUGGGAGAGAAAUAGCACAACAAAAAGAGUUGCAGAAUCGGUCACAUGUGAAUCUUUAGUUGUUUAAUACGACCCAUUAGUUUAAAAUUUAAGAAGUUACUUUUAAUCUACAUCCUUUGUUUUAUCUCAAAUGAAUGACUCAUUAGAAACCAAAAGAUCCACAUGUGAUGUCUUUGUGUAUAUCUGUUUUAAUUAAUCAUGAUCCCAUUUUUUCUUACCCCGUGUAAGAAUUCCAAAUUUCCAACCAAUAAUAACUUAAAUAACUUUGAUAUAAAAAAGUCUCCCGAAAUACAUAAUUUCUUCCAAGGCCUAGUAGCGAGUGCAAUUGUAAGUCACCAAGAAACAGAUUGCAAGAACAGAGGUUUUUCUAAAAAUAUAUAAUUUGAUAAGGGUCCGAAGCAGUUCAGAUCCGAAGAGAAUCCUAAAACAGAGGUUUCCCCAACUUUGAAUUAGUUCACUUUAAGAUGCAUGAUAAAAAAACCUAGCUUUGAAUAAUUAACCUAAUGUUUGGAUCUGAAUUUCUUGUGUUCUUUCAGUAACGUGUAAUUCAUUUGAAACACAUUCAUAGGCAUUUUUUCAAACAACAUAUUGAAUUUCAGGCGUUAGCAGCACAAUCAGAUAAUAACUUGGAACAAUCAGAUUAACCAAAGUUUCAUCGAAGUACAUGUUUGGGACAGUUGAAAUCAGUAAUUGAACUAAACUGACAUCGAAUUGAAUUGGUAAAAAAUAACUAAAUUUUUUUCAAUAAUAAGUUUUGGGUUUUCUUGGGUUGCAAUUAGCACAAUCAGUAAUGUUGACCUUAUUACUAUCAUCACACUAGUGUACAGAAUGUGGUCAAGUAUGUUACAAGCCAUAUUGAUCCUCACAAUGUUAAUCCAAUUAACGCGUAUAAUUAAUAAUAUAAUGCGCUCUUGUUGGUAUUGCAGCUCUACCUCAUCUAGCGAAAUAUAUAAAGUGCAUCAACACUACAAAACUAAAUAAAGAUCUCAAUGCACAAUAAGAUAUAUAAUUCAUAUUCUUCUUAAAAGAAAACAUUCAAUAUGUAUUUCUCCAAAUAACAAUGAAACUCUCACUCUAAUUUUCAAGUCACUGUGUUUCUCUUUGUUUCACUAUUGCUAUGCUCACUUUCCGGGGACAAAGUUUGUAGCAUAGGCCCAGGCAUUAUUGUUUACUGGGUCAGCUAGGUGGUCAGCAAGAUUUUCCAAAGGUCCCUUUCCUGUCACAAUUGCCUGAACAAAGAAACCAAACAUGGAGAACAUGGCCAACCUACCAUUCUUGAGCUCUUUCACCUUCAACUCAGCAAAAGCCUCUGGGUCAUCAGCAAG